AUUUAUUUAAUAUAUAUAUAAGUAUAUUUGACUUCCAAUCAAAAAGUUCAUCUAAAAUGAAAUAAAUA
RNAcentral lists this transfer RNA (68 nucleotides) under Salganea quinquedentata. Its description in RNAcentral is "tRNA-Gly". The record is from RNAcentral. Lineage: Eukaryota; Metazoa; Arthropoda; Insecta; Blattodea; Blaberidae.